This 73-nucleotide transfer RNA is filed under the name Bos taurus (domestic cattle). It matches the Rfam family "tRNA". From Rfam's summary of the family: Transfer RNA (tRNA) molecules are approximately 80 nucleotides in length. Their secondary structure includes four short double-helical elements and three loops (D, anti-codon, and T loops). RNAcentral also lists the same sequence under 4 other names. Lineage: Eukaryota; Metazoa; Chordata; Mammalia; Artiodactyla; Bovidae. The record is from Rfam by way of RNAcentral.
UCUCUGGUGGUCCAAUGGUUAAGACUCCGCACUUCAAAUGCAGGGGGUGAAGGUUCACAUCCUUGUUGGGGAA